UGGGGAAUAUUGGACAAUGGGCGAAAGCCUGAUCCAGCCAUGCCGCGUGUGUGAAGAAGGUCUUCGGAUUGUAAAGCACUUUAAGUUGGGAGGAAGGGCAGUAAGCGAAUACCUUGCUGUUUUGACGUUACCGACAGAAUAAGCACCGGCUAACUCUGUGCCAGCAGCCGCGGUAAUACAGAGGGUGCAAGCGUUAAUCGGAAUUACUGGGCGUAAAGCGCGCGUAGGUGGUUCGUUAAGUUGAAUGUGAAAGCCCCGGGCUCAACCUGGGAAAUGCAUCCAAAACUGGCGAGAUAGAGUAGGGCAGAGGGUGGUGGAAUUUACUGUGUAGCGGUGAAAAGCGUAGAUAUAGGAAGGAACACCAGUGGAGAAGGCGACCACCAGGGCUCAUACUGACACUGAGGUGCGAAAGCAUGGGGAGCAAACAGG
Molecule: ribosomal RNA, 429 nt
Filed under: Pseudomonadota bacterium
Lineage: Bacteria; Pseudomonadati; Pseudomonadota
Description: Proteobacteria bacterium partial 16S ribosomal RNA
Rfam family: Bacterial small subunit ribosomal RNA
Source: RNAcentral